AAGUUGUUAGCAACCAAAGUGAUCCGAUAGUCCUAACAUAAUAAGGAUUAUGGAGUCUUAUCCCUUGCAAUUAACCUAGAGGAAAUCUGAUAGAUUUUAUUACGAAGAUGUAGAAUCAUGGUGGGACUUAAACACUAGAGAGAUAGGGUCAAUCUUCACAGCCAAUGAUAGGUCGGCUGUGUUAAAAACCCUAACGAUAUAAAUACCACGGUUAAGUCCCUACUUCCAUACGCUUGUACUCUUAAUCACGCCAAA
This 255-nucleotide long non-coding RNA is filed under the name Malus domestica (apple). RNAcentral describes it as "long non-coding RNA (MDOM_LNC017204)". Lineage: Eukaryota; Viridiplantae; Streptophyta; Magnoliopsida; Rosales; Rosaceae. The record is from RNAcentral.